Molecule: ribosomal RNA, 484 nt
Filed under: uncultured bacterium
Lineage: Bacteria
Description: partial 16S ribosomal RNA
Rfam family: Bacterial small subunit ribosomal RNA
Source: RNAcentral
GAUUAACGCUAGCGGCAGGCAUAAUACAUGCAAGUUGAACGGCAGCACAGGUAGCAAUACUGGUUGGCGAGUGGCGCACGGGUGCGUAACACGUAUGCAACCUACCCUAUACAGGCGAAUAACCUUUAGAAAUGAGGGCUAAUACGCCGUAGUAUUACAGAUGGGCAUCUAUUUGUAAUUAAAGAUUUAUCGGUAUAGGAUGGGCAUGCGUCCCAUUAGUUAGUUGGUAAGGUAACGGCUUACCAAGACGAUGAUGGGUAGGGGAUCUGAGAGGACUUACCACCACAAUGGUACCGAGACACGGACCAGACUCCUACGGGAGGCAGCAGUAAGGAAUAUUGGGCAAUGGCCGCGAGGCUGACCCAGCCAUGUCGCGUGCAGGAAGACGGCCUUAUGGGUUGUAAACUGCUUUUAUACGGGAAUAAUAGAGUGUACGCGUACAUUUAUGCAAGUAUCGUAUGAAUAAGCAUCGGCUAACUCCGUG